Molecule: long non-coding RNA, 498 nt
Filed under: Fukomys damarensis (Damara mole-rat)
Lineage: Eukaryota; Metazoa; Chordata; Mammalia; Rodentia; Bathyergidae
Description: lncRNA (ENSFDAG00000030087.1)
Source: RNAcentral
AGCUCUUUUUGAAACCCCCCACCCUCUAAUUUUUGUCUUUCUUUUCUGCAGCUUUGCAUAAACCAGGCCAUUUUCACUGCCUUUCUGGACCAUGCACAACUGAGAUCACCAUGGCUUGGUAACACAUUUAUAGACCCAUUACACAUCAUCUGGAGGAAGGAAGACACAAAGGACUUUGAUAGCAUAAAGGAGAGGAGAGCUGGGCCAUCUUGUUGUGCAGCUCCGAAGCACAGUCAGGCCUGAGACUGAGACGGCGGGGAGGAGAUUUAUGACCGGCAAAAAAAGCCCAAAAAACAAAAAACGGGGUAGGUAACAUUGAUCAACGCUACUAGAUACUCAGAACAUCCAAGUGGUCAACGGGAGUGCAUUUUCAUGGAUUGCAGUUGCUGAUUCUUGUGCUCCUGUAGGCAGGAUAUUCAGUUCAGAGGGAGAAGGCCAACUUCAGCAGAGUGGGUCACCAGAGAAGUCAUGCAAAUAAACUUUUGUUCUCCAUAGCCC